Molecule: ribosomal RNA, 253 nt
Filed under: uncultured bacterium
Lineage: Bacteria
Description: partial 16S ribosomal RNA
Rfam family: Bacterial small subunit ribosomal RNA
Source: RNAcentral
UACAGAGGUCCCGAGCGUUGUUCGGAUUCACUGGGCGUAAAGGGUGCGUAGGCGGCCGGGUAAGUCUGGUGUGAAAGCCCUGAGCUCAACUCAGGAAUGGCACUGGAUACUCUCCGGCUCGAGGUGUGGAGGGGGGACUGGAAUUCUCGGUGUAGCAGUGAAAUGCGUAGAGAUCGAGAGGAACACCAGUGGCGAAGGCGAGUCCCUGGACACCACCUGACGCUGAGGCACGAAAGCUAGGGGAGCAAACAGG